CGAGAGGUUGGCGCGGGCGAGUGCUUCGCCAACCUGGUCAGGACCGGAAGGUAGCAGCCACAACGAAUACCGCUUGGGUCGUUGUCAACCUCUCACCC
Molecule: signal recognition particle RNA, 98 nt
Filed under: Loktanella sp. 3ANDIMAR09
Lineage: Bacteria; Pseudomonadati; Pseudomonadota; Alphaproteobacteria; Rhodobacterales; Roseobacteraceae
Also listed under: 3 other names
Description: Bacterial small signal recognition particle RNA
Rfam family: Bacterial small signal recognition particle RNA
About the family: The signal recognition particle (SRP) is a universally conserved ribonucleoprotein involved in the co-translational targeting of proteins to membranes. Archaeal SRP consists of a 7S RNA and homologues of the eukaryotic SRP19 and SRP54 proteins.
Source: Rfam by way of RNAcentral